GCUGAGCUUAGUAAAAUGGGCUUGUCAACAAGUGGAGCAUUAAGGUAUUUGAAUAAUUUAUAUUGAGCUCAUGGUUUACAUUAUGAGCUAGCUUUGAUUUUCCCGUUUCCAAGUUGGGCAGUGGAUGCUAUAUGUUUCAGGCUAACGCUUGAAUCAUAUUCUCCCUAAGCUUGAGGGUAAUGCGUGAGGCUGGUUUCGAAGAGCAGCGAUUACCUCUCACUCUCAACGGUGGAAGGAUUACAAGUCAUUUGCUCAAAUUGUCAAUUAGCCUUGGAAUCCUCCAAAUUCAACAAAUAUUUUG
RNAcentral lists this signal recognition particle RNA (301 nucleotides) under Zostera marina. RNAcentral's name for it is "Plant signal recognition particle RNA". It matches the Rfam family "Plant signal recognition particle RNA". Lineage: Eukaryota; Viridiplantae; Streptophyta; Magnoliopsida; Alismatales; Zosteraceae. The record is from Rfam by way of RNAcentral.